RNAcentral lists this ribosomal RNA (611 nucleotides) under Geostiba circellaris. RNAcentral's name for it is "partial 16S ribosomal RNA". It matches the Rfam family "Bacterial large subunit ribosomal RNA", at positions 1819 to 2712 of the family's 2925-position model. Lineage: Eukaryota; Metazoa; Arthropoda; Insecta; Coleoptera; Staphylinidae. The record is from RNAcentral.
GUCUUUUUGAUUUUAAUUUAAAGUCUGGCCUGCCCAAUGAGUAUUUUAAUGGCCGCAGUAUUUUGACUGUGCAAAGGUAGCAUAAUCAUUAGUUUCUUAAUUAGAAGCUGGAAUGAAAGGUUGGACGAGAAAAUAGCUGUCUCUUUAUAAAUUAGUUAGAAUUUUAUUUUUAAGUUAAAAAGCUUAGAUGUAUUUAAAAGACGAGAAGACCCUAUAGAGUUUUACUUAUUUUUUAUUAAAUAAUUUAUUUAGAAUAGAUUAAAUAUUAAGAUUUAGGUAAGUUUAGUUGGGGUGAUAGAAAAAUUUAAUAAACUUUUUUUUUAUAGUAACAUUUAUUUAUGAUUGAAUGAUCCAUUAAUUAUGAUUAUAAGAUUGAAUUACCUUAGGGAUAACAGCGUAAUUUUUUUAUAGAGUUCAAAUCACUAAAGAAGUUUGCGACCUCGAUGUUGGAUUAAAAUUUAUUUUUGGUGUAGAAGCUAGAAUAUUAGGUCUGUUCGACCUUUAAAAUUUUACAUGAUCUGAGUUUAAACCGGUGUGAGCCAGGUUGGUUUCUAUCUUUAAAUUAAUUUUUAUAUUUUAGUACGAAAGGACCAAAUAUACUGAAUAUUUUA